This is a long non-coding RNA of Gadus chalcogrammus (walleye pollock), 1658 nucleotides long. RefSeq lists it as uncharacterized. The transcript is spliced from 4 exons. NCBI's taxonomy places the organism in Eukaryota, Metazoa, Chordata, Actinopteri, Gadiformes, Gadidae. The record is from RefSeq and is a predicted model, not a curated record.
AUUUUUCAUUCCAACAGAACUUUGCUGCUCAGUAUGAUCACAACAAAGGCGCUGAUAUUGGUCCCGGCCCCAUGGGAAUGAUGGGAAUGAAAGGCCAACCUGGACUUCCCGGCCCCCCUGGAGAAAGAGUGAUAAUCCCUUGAGUCCGGACUUUGUUCCAUCUCUUUUCAACUACGUUCCAUCUCCAGAGAAGAGGAAAAGAAAAAUGAGACUGGAGGUUUUCAACAGACGACAGAGAGCAAAGCUACAGAAGAUGGAGCAGACAAAGCUAUCUGCGAAAGCCAUCCCUCCCAGAGCAUCAACAGAUUGUCCCCAAGACUGCAACAAGGAUCCUACUGCAGAGCAAAGUCCCACCACAGAGCCUUUGAAGGAAUCUACCCAUGAAGAACCUGGAAACGAUGUCCAGCCUGUUCUCCAUGAGGAGGAUCCAGCAACCCCACCAUGCACCACUGAAACCUGUGGUAAACGCGUCCAAUCUCUUGAGCAAGAAUGCCAAGCUCUGAGGACUGAAAAUAUGUUGUUGAAGGAAAAAAAUGAAUAGGACUACACUGAAUGAGAUGAGCUUGCAUAACGAUGAUAAAAGGGUUCAUACUCUCACUGGUUUAUCAGCAUUCUCCAUUCUCAUGACAAUUUUUCAUAUUGUGGCUCCUUUUCUCCAACUUAAAUCUAGUUUAACAUGUUUUCAGCAGUACAUGUUAACUUUAAUUAAGCUUAGAAUGAACUUGUCCUUUGAGUUUUUGGCUUUUUAUUUUGACAUUGACUCAACCACUGUUUCAAAGCUCUUCAAACACUGCAUUAGUGUGAUGCAUUGUAGACUGGUGCCAAGUCUGGUGUUGUGGCCUGACAGAGAAUACUUAAGAAAAUCUCUUCCAUACGCAUUUCGAAACCGUAGCUUUGAAAAGACAGUUUGCAUUAUAGAUUGUUUUGAAAUAUUUCUAGAGAAACCCAGUAGAUUGCUAGCCAGUGCUCAGUGUUACUCAUCAUACAAAUCACACCACACAAUGAAAUAUUUAAUUGCAAUUUGCCCUCGAGGUUCCAUUUGUUUCAUUUCCGCUGGAUGGGGAGGUCGCACAAGUGAUAAGUUUAUCACAGAACAAAGUGACUUUUUAUCUCAUUUGCUCCCAGGGGACGUAGUUUUAGCGGACAGAGGUUGUCUGGUUAAAGAGUCCAUUGAGAGAUGCCAAGCUGAAUUAAAAAUUCCAGCAUUUACUCGUGGAUAGAAGCAGUUAGAUCCUGCUGACUUGGAGAACACCAGACGUCUAGCCUCUCUUAGGAUACAUAUUGAAAGAGUGAUAGGAGUUCUCCGUCAAAAGUACACAGUCUUGCAAAGCACUGUCCCCAUAUGUUUCACGGACAUAGACAGGGAAAAUGAUGUGGCCUACCUUGACAAGAUGGUGAGCGUGUGUUGUGCACUUACAAAUGUGUCUGAAUCUGUGGUGUCCUUCCAGUGAUGGGGAUGUACAGUACAUUGAACUGAUGUGACUGGCUACAGAUGUGCUCAACCAGCAAAUAAACCUUUGUGACUCACACUUCUUGCUUGCUUGUCGUGACAUUAUUUUUAAUCACUCGCUAUUCUGAUGCGAUCACAUCGUUUCUCUUUGCAGAUCAAGCUGCACAUCCACCCAUUCUAACUUGAGUUCCACCCAAACAGAUAUUUG